RNAcentral lists this long non-coding RNA (1238 nucleotides) under Mus musculus (house mouse). RNAcentral's name for it is "Pvt1 oncogene". The stretch from base 17 to 173 matches the Rfam family "Pvt1 oncogene conserved region 1". Lineage: Eukaryota; Metazoa; Chordata; Mammalia; Rodentia; Muridae. The record is from RNAcentral.
AGAGCGCGUGUGGCCGCCGAGCACAUGGACCCACUGGUCAAGCGGGCUCGGCAAGGCCAGGAUGAAGAGAAGCUACGAACUUAGCAUUCCCAGAGCCCCCCGAGUGGAUAUCCGCGUGGAAAGGAUGUUGGCAGCCCCGGUGACCUCGGAGUCACGGCUGGAUCCACCCUCUUGGGCUGGGACACUGCCUGAUUGAGGUGGCCAUUGAGAAUUCAAGUGUACCUCUUGGUCCCUGAUGCAGAAAUGAAGUCCCCAGCAUGCUCAAGAAGAGCUUCCUUGGAGGAUGAGAGGCAUGGGAAUCUAAGUAUACCCUUUAAGCGUUCCAGAAGGAUUUUGAGAUCCUUUCCUAAAUCAAAGGUGGAAUAUUUGGGGAUUUGGAAAAUUGAGAAGCCAGUCUCUCAGAAGAACCAGUUGUGUUACUUUGCUGUGAGAUGCCUGCCCUAAGAGAGGAGCAGAAGGUCGGAACGGGUCCUCUAAUGUGAUAAUUAGAUGUGAAGCGUUGACUUAAGAGAUGCCAAGUAACUCAGCAGAUGUCACACAGACGAUAAAUAGCAAAGAUGGAAGUCUUCAUGCCGGAGGCAAUCCUAUAAGACAGCUGAGUUCUGCAGAGCUGGUAGGAGACAGACUUGCUCAGGUGAUAGAUCCAGCCAUGAUACUGACCCUAAGAGAAUGAGACGCUCUGCAGAAGACAGAAGAUUCCUGAAACUGGGAAAGGUGCCUAGAAAUCCUGAUAAGAGUGAAGAAGGAGCUGGCAGAGCAGCCUUCCUCCGCACUAUGAAAGACAUCCAACAGAGAGCAAGUUCCCACCUCACUUCCAGCUUGACUCCUUUUUAUCUCCUAACUGUGGUCUGUGAUGUCUUCAGCAAUGGGUACCUGGAGGCACAGCAGCCAUGUUGAACCUAUGAGGUGAUGAAAAACCAUGCAACUAGAAACCAGAAUGGAAGAAAAGAAGAAGCUGGAUCCUUGACUGAAUUGUCGAUGGGGGAUAGUCCAUCAUCCCAGGGCUAAGACCACCUCCAGAUUUCUUGUUUGGUGAAACAAGUCCUGAUUGUUUACAUUCCCUCGUGUUGAGCUGUCUCUUGCUUGUAGCUGAAAGCAUUUCUAAUAGAUAUUCAGAUUAUCAGCCUUAGCUCCAAGCUAGAAUACUCUAUGGGACCUUAGCUUCUCCAUGAAUUCCUUUGCUCAUCUGUGUAAUGCUCAAUAAAUGUAAAUUGAACCCUGAAUGAGGGACAAUGACA